This is a long non-coding RNA of Mus musculus (house mouse), 5713 nucleotides long. RefSeq annotates it as predicted gene, 50497. Lineage: Eukaryota; Metazoa; Chordata; Mammalia; Rodentia; Muridae. The record is from RefSeq and is a predicted model, not a curated record. The transcript has 6 exons.
GCAGUCCAUCUAGUCUAUCCGUAGUGAAAGCCAGCCCAGAAAGAUGUGCAGGGGCAUCUGCAGAGUGAGCAAAGUAAUUAGUUAAUAUUCCAGAGGUAUAAGAAAUAUUUUAGAAAUAAGAAACAAAAAUUGAACAUCUUACAUAUGCUUAGAAUCCAACAUUUAUCCAUUUAGCUAGUUUAAACAAAUCUCACUUUGCUAAAGUAUUUGAGAAUUAAGAGAUAUCCUCGUCCAUUAAAAUCUUAUACCCCCUUGAGAACAGACCACCAAUACUGAGUGGCUUUUCUAUGUCAAGUGCAGACAUUUCUGAUAUUAGAGUAGCUGUUCCAUCUUUUCUGCAUCUACCGAAAGCAAUAUUAAACACGAGGAUAUAAGCUCUACCAUUUUAGGUCCUCAUAGAGCCUUAUCUAAAUCGUAUAAGUUUUCUUUGGUUCUGUCUUCACACCCGUAAAGAGGGAAAACAACUCAAGGAACCAUUUUAGUCCUGACAGGGUUUCACCAGCUUCUUUAAGAAGAGCUUGACAACUUUCUGAUGGAACGAGAUAGCUUUAAAAUCUAGAUAAACAAAAUUCAACGUUUAAGAACACAUCAUUAUUCCCUUACCCAUUUGUAAGUUGAGGCCAGGACUACCUUCCUUCAUCCAAAUGUAGUUGAGAAGGUAAUUCUUGAGGUACACGUGUAUGUCCUGUACCAGCAGUGUUCUCAGCAACUGUUCAUGCUAUCUGUGGUCCUGAGAUUGAAAAACCAUCGAGAAUAGAAGUGUUUAUCUCUCUCUGACUGGUUUUCAUCAAGGGGAUGCCUGUCACAUCCUGCUGUAAAUACACUUACCCAAAGGUUUCCUUUAGUUCUACUCUGGAGCACAUAUGAAAAUUUAUUGCUGGUAGGAGUGGCCUCAACGUGAACCACUUGAGUGGUUCAAGUUCUGUCCUGGCUAAUUUUAGACCUUAAUUCCAAAUUCCUGAAGGAGUCCUCAGGAAAAUUGGGUGUAGUCCUCACUUUUUAGAGACCCUAACAAGUAGAGAAGAGGCCUAUGAUCUAUUUGCUUGUGAUUUAACUAACCCGUUGCCAUCCCUGGUCUUUUCCUUGCUCAUGUCUGGAGACCAUCUAGCCUCAGGGAAUUAUAAAGUGAGCACUUUCAUAAGCUCAGUCCCAAGCAAGAGUAUGCCUGUCACACCAGUGGGCUAACCUGUUUAAAACAUUGGCAAUGAUGGAUUAUUUUCGGAUUUGUCUUCCUGAGGUUCUCAGCAUUGAAAAAUGCUUUCUUUCUGGCACUGCACUUGCCUGUUCUCCUACACGGUGAAGCAAAUGUCUCCAUGACAGAUGGGCCAUGCUGCAGUCCUUAGAAGUCAGCAACCUGGAUGCUUAUCACACCAGAGGGAAAACACUCUCAAGAGUCCUCCAUGGAAGCCAGCCCUUCUCUCAUGCCAAAUGGCCAUUAUGGGGUCUAACCUGGCUGACAACUCCCUGUGGGGAAUGACUGCAUUUGACUGUGGUCCAGUGACUUUCUUGCUAAAGAGAAAACAAUACUGCCCAGGACCUAGUUCCUUCUAGCCACACCUCCUUUCUCACUUGUUUUCAUUACCUAGAGGUAUGGUCACUUCCAAACGGAAUGGUUGAAAAGCAGUGAUAAACAUUUAUUUUCCUCAGCUCUAUAAGUGGACUCUGGUGGUUCUUUGCUCCACAUGUUAGUAGGUGAGAAGGAUCAAAUUAAGGUCAAUGGUUCACCUCUAAAUUGACUUAUUCCCAUGGCAGCUGGCUCUCAAAUGAAGUGCCCAUCUUUACUUGAGAUUCCACAUGACGUGAACUUGACUCCUCACUACAAAAGGACUGCUUCCAAAGACCAGCAUCUCGUGAAGAAAAUGUGAGCAGAAGCUAUCCUGAUUUCUGUGACCUGGUCUGGACAUUGCAGGGUCACAUCUGUUAUUUUACCAUUUUCUUCAAGUGUGUGCAAUUUUAAAGAGCUGUCCAAGUUCAGGGUGAAAACGUUAUAAUUCAUAGAGAAUAGAUGUGGACAACAAAGCUCGUCAAGGUUGCACAGGGAAAGAAAUAUUUUGAUGACUAUCUGUGGAAUAUGAAAUUUGGGCUCAUUCCCUCAUUGUCCCAGGCAUAUUCUCUAGUAGGGCUUGAUUUUGAUGUCACCAUGGUAUUCUUCUUUUAGGUAUCCAUGUAGCUCCCAUUGUGACUUCCUUUACAUCUUCACCAAAAUAUUUUUUCCUCUGUAAGUACUUCCCUAGACAAGAUGUAAAAAUGUAACACAUUUUCCAGGUCUACUAAUUUUUUGAAAAAGUUCUCAGUAUGUAGAUUCUGCAUGUUUGACAUAUCUUGUUAUUUGUUUUCUCUUCCAUUAAGUUAAAACAGUAGCUUCCACAUAAGCACGGACUUUGUUUAUUUCGUGUAUUGUUCUUUCCUUGGUGCUAGAAGAUUAUCUGAUAAUGGAACUAGGACACAGUGACUACCUGCUUAAGUAAAACAAUGUACAGCUUCCCUAAGAAAUGGCUCUGAGCCUGGGCCCACAUUUACCCAGUUUAUUAUAUGCUAACCAGUGUCAGACAUAUCUCUAUUAUAAAAUUAUUUCAAUAUUGAUUAUUAACUAUGAUGGUUUAGAAUAACUUGAUUUGGGAGGCGAUCAGCAAUGAUCUACCAGCAUUCCACUUCUUGUCACUGACUAAUGUCACCUCUCCUUGCUCCCCUACAGAUAUGCAGAACUGACUACUAUGUACAUUCAUAUGUACUAUGUACAUUCAGUACUCUGGACCACAGUGCUUCUGAAUAGACGUAGGAAUUGUAUCAAGAGAAAAGAGAAAAUCACAGGCCAUACCCAGGAGACAAGAUGUCACUCUAGCAGUGAACCGGGCCAAGAGGAACAAGGCAGAAAAAGAGAUCAGAGACGGAUGUGCACUGUUUUCAACUCAACGUAAGCUUCGUCUUCACAUCAAACCGGAACAGAUCAAUAGGUAACACAUGCUGCAUCUAAGCAAUGAAUGAAUAAGUAUAAAAAAAUUAAGAAAAGUAAAUGUGUGCUUAUUCAACUGACAUGGAGAAACGCCCAGGCAUGGUUUCUAUGCGACAAUGAACGAGAAAUGUGAUAUCCAAAGCAGGGACUCCAGAUGUUAUUUCUCUGUGGAACUUCUAAGGAGUCUUCACCUCUCCAAAGAACUUGUGCUUGUUCUGAGCCUUCACGGGAAAAAACUCCAAGUAGAGAUAUGGAUUCUCUCUAUGGAUUUUCAGGAACAACCGAGAAGCAGCUGGUAGGACACAGGUCAAACAAUAUUCUAGGCAAGAGAGCUAAGGAGCUCUCCUUGGUUUGGAGGAGUUCAAGAGAAAUGUAGACUACUUUGUGUAAAUAGAUGUUUUGUAUAUAGUUAAGAAAAUAAAAUUGCCUCACUGAGAUAGAAGGUUUUUAACUCAGUUUAGGCCUCCUGUGUCUUUACUGGCAUAAAUAUUAGACAGUAAAAACAGUUACACUGAAGUCUCUUUUAAUUCCUAUCUUAGAUUGCUUUAGACACAUAGUUAACUUUAGACAAAGAUGAAGUGCUUAAAAUUAUAACGCGAAAUACAGACCAUGGGAAAAUGUAAGUGUCACAUACUCUCAUAUGUUUAUAGCUAUAGAAAAUCCUGAAGAUUCUUGCUCCACUCUUGCCUUGCAUUAUUAACUAUGUGUUACACUGCAUCCUUCUAAAACACUUUCCCAAUAUUAUUUUUUAUUGGUGUGGACUUUCAGAUGGCCUGGGUAUACCUGGAUGCACUUGAAUACAUUAAGUCAGGAUCUUCAGUCUGAUUGUCUAGGCAUCGGCACUUGAAAAGGUCACUAUUGUAUUCUGGCUUUAUUAGUCCCGAGAACCACUGAGUAUUGUGUGUUCUAGUCUCCCUUGCUACUGGUACUCUCCAGCCCCAGCCCUAAGGCCAACCCUUCUGUAGACCCUGCAACUCUGCUACAUAAUAUUCUGCAGGGGUUUCACAUUCCUUUGUGGCAAUACUUAUUUAGUAUUUAUCUUCCUCAGACUCUUUUCAAAUUGAACCUUUAAGGGCUUGUUUACUGUGACAUCCAUCACUGGCCAUCCUGGUGUUUUGCUACCAAGAAUAAUGAUUAAACUGGAGUUAAAUUAUUUCCUCACUUUGUUUUCUGCAUUAAUGAAGUGACCUUUAUACAUGACCAGCUGAGCACUGAUUGAGGUCACUUAAGGCAAAUUUAUCUUCACUAAAUAGGACUCUGGUUUAAACUAAGGAAAUUGUUUGGACAUCCCAUAAUGAGUGACACAUUGUAAGGUUGUAAAUAUAAAACAAGUCUGUAUUUUUCUACCAUGCAAUUUUUUUAUAGAUAUGCACUUGACUCUUGCUCUAUGUGCAAGAAAAUAUACAACGUUUUUUAAAGUGUGCUGUUGCAUAACUUUCAUAGUUCCGUAUGGCCCUGGGAUGCUACCGUCAAGAAAAGGCAUCAUGAAUUUUACCCAGCCGUGAACUCUGUGAGAUACAAUAACAGCCAAGUCUAGCAAGGCCUGCCCACUAGUACAAUAAUGACAUGAAUGCCAUGGGAAUAACUAGGUUUUAAGACCUAUUCCACAUGAUAAAAUCCAGACUUGGUUCCAUUUUGAUGCCAGCAACCUGUGGCUAGAGAAACCCUGGACCACUAGUAUUUUUUAUAGUAAUAUAAAAGGUUUUUUAAUAUUAAAUAGACCUCUAACAACUUAUGGUUAAGCUCUAUCUUCAAAAUGCUUCUGUUAACAGUAGAUGGCAGCCAACAUAGAGACGUACAACUGGUCAAAGUACAAAGAAUAAGAAACUGCAGAAUACACAUCCCUAAAUAAGACAUCUAUAUCAUACUCCAUCCCUGUAAGGCGCAGGGAUCAUUGCAGAAGAUGGGGUGACAAGUGUGUAAGAGCCAGGGACAACGGAUAACUACAAAAAACAGCAUCGUCCAGACACUGCAGAAGACUUGUGCCCAUGAACUCAUAGAGGUUGUUACAGAUGCAUAUGACUUGACUAAAUGCCAGCAUGUGGACAGAAGGGGACACAAAGUCCCACUCCUAGGAGAUGAGGAUUUGUUCAACAGUCUUGCUGUGAAUUUCAAGCUCUUUGAUCUCUCCAUCCUCUUACUUCACCCUCCCUAGUGCUGGAUUAUAGCUGUGUGUCUGCAAGUCUCACUAUACUUGUUGAUCUGAGUGAUUUCAGAAGUUUACACCCAAGUGUGUCCAUACUGUGUCCUGUGAAUCUGAGAGCAGAUAUAAAUGGUGGGAAGGAAGCAUUUGGCAGACCUCUUUUUAAACAGCUUAUGGAACAGUGUUUCCUGACUUCUUCCAUCAUCCUUAACUCAAACAUGGGAUUUAGUCUUAGGCUAAAGCCUGUGAGAAUCCAUAUAAAGUAAAGUUCUGGGUAGACCCUGGGCACCCAGAGUGCAAACUCUUCAGGUGGGGAUACAUCAAAACAUGGCAUCUGAAAUAAGGACACAGAUGCCCAAGACCCCUGCUGACAAAAGCUGAAAGAAACACAUGCCAACUCCCCAUCCUCUUGCCAUACACAUGGAUUUGUAAUAUUCCUCUGUGCUGUACACUGGGAAGGCCUGACUCCACCCAAGCCUGAUGCUGAUGUCAUCUGCACAGUCCUACAACACAUAACUGGAUACUAACUGCUUUCAGAUAAUUGAAGAAGAAUAGUGAAAGAAAGAUGAAAUUUCAAGACCUGUAAGUCAUAUAAAGUACUCAGAAAUUGCUGGUUG